This 253-nucleotide ribosomal RNA is filed under the name uncultured bacterium. Its description in RNAcentral is "partial 16S ribosomal RNA". It matches the Rfam family "Bacterial small subunit ribosomal RNA", at positions 524 to 776 of the family's 1533-position model. The record is from RNAcentral.
UACGUAGGUGGCAAGCGUUGUCCGGAUUUAUUGGGUUUAAAGGGUGCGCAGGCGGUCGGGUGUGUCAGAUGUGAAAUCCCGAGGCUCAACCUCGGAACUGCGUCUGAAACUACUCGACUAGAGUACUGGAGAGGGUAACGGAAUUCACGGUGUAGCAGUGAAAUGCGUAGAUAUCGUGAGGAACACCAGAGGCGAAGGCGGUUACCUGGACAGUUACUGACGCUCAGGCACGAAAGCAUGGGGAGCAAAAGGG